RNAcentral lists this ribosomal RNA (1060 nucleotides) under Lactobacillus sp. HMSC08B12. RNAcentral describes it as "bacterial LSU rRNA". It matches the Rfam family "Bacterial large subunit ribosomal RNA", at positions 325 to 1391 of the family's 2925-position model. The record is from RNAcentral. Lineage: Bacteria; Bacillati; Bacillota; Bacilli; Lactobacillales; Lactobacillaceae.
GAGGAUAGCAGAAGCGUUUGGGAAAACGCGCCAGAGAGGGUGAGAGCCCCGUAAGCGAAAUCCAAAGAAGGCCUAUCAGUAUCCUGAGUAGGGCGGGACACGUGAAAUCCCGUUUGAAUCCGCGAGGACCAUCUCGCAAGGCUAAAUACUAACCAGUGACCGAUAGUGAACCAGUACCGUGAGGGAAAGGUGAAAAGAACCCCGGGAGGGGAGUGAAAGAGAACCUGAAACCGUGUGCCUACAAGUAGUCAGAGCCCGUUAACGGGUAAUGGCGUGCCUUUUGUAGAAUGAACCGGCGAGUUGCGUUAGUCAGCAAGGUUAAGUCAGAAAAGACGGAGCCGCAGCGAAAGCGAGUCUGAAGAGGGCGAGCAGUUGGCUGACGCAGACCCGAAACCAAGUGACCUACCCAUGACCAGGUUGAAGGCGCGGUAAAACGCGCUGGAGGACCGAACCCACGUAAGUUGAAAAUUGCGGGGAUGAGUUGUGGGUAGCGGUGAAAUUCCAAACGAACUUGGAGAUAGCUGGUUCUCUCCGAAAUAGCUUUAGGGCUAGCCUCGCAAAGAGGAUGCUGGAGGUAGAGCUCUGUUUGGACUAGGGGCCCGUCAAGGGUUACUGAAUUCAGAUAAACUACGAAUUCCAGACAUUUAUGUGCGGGAGUCAGACUGCGAGUGAUAAGAUCCGUAGUCGAAAGGGAAACAGCCCAGAUCACCAGUUAAGGUCCCAAAAUUCAUGCUAAGUGGAAAAGGAUGUGGAGUUGCGCAGACAACUAGGACGUUGGCUCAGAAGCAGCCAUCAUUCAAAGAGUGCGUAAUAGCUCACUAGUCGAGUGACGCCGCGCCGAAAAUUUACCGGGGCUAAGCAUGAUACCGAAACUGUGGAUGUGCAUUUAUGCACGUGGUAGGAGAGCGUUCUAGCGGCGGUGAAGCAUGACUGAGAAGACAUGUGGAGCUUCUAGAAGUGAGAAUGCCGGUAUGAGUAACGAAAGACAGGUGAGAAUCCUGUCCGCCGCAAGACUAAGGUUUCCUGGGGCAGGCUCGUCCGCCCAGGGUAAGUCGGGACC